This 328-nucleotide ribosomal RNA is filed under the name uncultured Bacteroidota bacterium. RNAcentral's name for it is "bacterial SSU rRNA". It matches the Rfam family "Bacterial small subunit ribosomal RNA", at positions 28 to 351 of the family's 1533-position model. The record is from RNAcentral. Lineage: Bacteria; Pseudomonadati; Bacteroidota.
GAUGAACGCUAGCGGGAGGCUUAACACAUGCAAGUCGAGGGGCAGCAUUUGGUAGCAAUACUGAGAUGGCGACCGGCGCACGGGUGAGUAACGCGUAUGUAACCUACCUUGUACAGGGGGAUAGCCCGGAGAAAUUCGGAUUAAUACCCCAUAAUGAUAUUAAGAGGCAUCUUUUAAUAUUUAAAGUUUCGACGGUACGAGAUGGGCAUGCGUGACAUUAGCUAGUUGGUAAGGUAACGGCUUACCAAGGCUACGAUGUCUAGGGGUCCUGAGAGGGUGAUCCCCCACACUGGUACUGAGACACGGACCAGACUCCUACGGGUGGCUG